This 497-nucleotide ribosomal RNA is filed under the name uncultured bacterium. Its description in RNAcentral is "partial 16S ribosomal RNA". It matches the Rfam family "Bacterial small subunit ribosomal RNA", at positions 28 to 507 of the family's 1533-position model. The record is from RNAcentral.
GAUGAACGCUGGCGGCGUGCCUAAUACAUGCAAGUCGAGCGAACAGACGAGGAGCUUGCUCCUCUGACGUUAGCGGCGGACGGGUGAGUAACACGUGGAUAACCUACCUAUAAGACUGGGAUAACUUCGGGAAACCGGAGCUAAUACCGGAUAACAUGUUGAACCGCAUGGUUUAACAGUGAAAGACGGUCUUGCUGUCACUUAUAGAUGGAUCCGCGCCGCAUUAGCUAGUUGGUAAGGUAACGGCUUACCAAGGCAACGAUACGUAGCCGACCUGAGAGGAUGAUCAGCCGCACUAGAACUGAGGCACGGUCCAGACUCCUAAGGGAGGCAGCAGUAGGGAAUCUUCCGCAAUGGGCGAAAGCCUGACGGAGCAACGCCGCGUGAGUGAAGAAGGUCUUAGGAUCGUAAAACUCUGUUAUUAGGGAGGAACAAAUGUGUAAGUAACUAUGCACGUCUUGACGGUACCUAAUCAGAAAGCCACGGCUAACUACGUG